Tympanuchus pallidicinctus (lesser prairie-chicken) is the source of this 2007-nucleotide long non-coding RNA. RefSeq lists it as uncharacterized. Lineage: Eukaryota; Metazoa; Chordata; Aves; Galliformes; Phasianidae. The transcript has 4 exons. The record is from RefSeq and is a predicted model, not a curated record.
GGGGAAGGAUCUUUCUCUGGGGAUUGCUCCUCUUGGAGUCUUUUUCUGUAAGUCCAGGACAAAGAUUUUGAGGAAGGAAAGAGACUCCUGGUAAACCAGCCUAAAUGUUUCUGGUGGUGCUCAGCCACCAGCACCCUGUCAGAGACCUCAACAAUUCUGCACCCGACUAGGAAUCACAGCUGCUUCCAGCAGUCAGCACUCUGAAAAAGAAGCAGAAACAGGAAAAACAUCUGAACUGAGGAAGCACACAGUGCCAGGAGGAAAAAGCUGAGGAGUAUGGAAUACUGCAAUCCAGGGAGCCUAUGCACUGCAGAAACAGAGAAAAAAAAAAGCCGAGACAGCUACCACAAAGCCCAAAGGAAGCAGAGACCACUGGGGAAUCAGCUUUCUGCAGAAAAGCAGAUCCAUCGGACACAAAAAGAGGGAAAAUGAGAAUCAGCAGAGUGAUUGCUAGAGACAUCAACAGAAGAAGAAUCAUAUAUCUCACAGUGCACAGCACUGAGUACUAACUAUGGAUCUGGUAAACUGAGAAAGCAGUGAAUCAUUGUAUCUUCAAGGUAAAGCAAUUUUAAGGAUUAAUCCAAGGCAGUUUCUCGUGAAACUUCUUAUGAUGUUGCAAAACUGAAUUGAUCUCGUCAUCUUUAGCUUUUCAGUUACCAAAAUGAACCACAUCCCAUUGCAGGAGAGGCAUGAAAGGAAGCAGCAUAGCAAUAGCAUAAAGGGAUGGCUACACAUAACUAUACUUCCUCAUAAGCCUUUGGAAUCGAUUUCCAGCCACUCUCCAGUCUGUGGGAGUUUGGCCAGGACUUUAAUAAGGCCAAAAUCUGUAAUGGGACUUUCUGCUCACACAACAGUCUCACCAAGGCCUUCAGAGAGCUCCCAGUACUAGUCUCAAACAAAACAAAAAGCAAGCAGCAAAUAGCAGUGGUCUGACAAGGAGACCAAAGUUUUUCCCUCCACAAUAAAGUUCUCUCUGGCACUGGAAUAAAAGCAAAGAAAACAAGUCUUUUUCUAUCUGUGGACCCUUCUAUAAAGAAUCGAACUGAAGAAGAUGUAGCUCUAAGGACUUAAAAGUCAUACUGUUUGAGAAAAUUACAGCAACGGAAGUUGGGCUGCAUCACUAAGAUAUGGCAAGAGAGUUGUGAGCAGGAAACUGUAGAGUAACCCUAUAGAUUCAUUACCCUUUUGUCACUGUACUGAGCACUUACAUUUUCUGUUACCUUUUCUCUCAUUUGAAUGAAGUUCCUUCCUCUUUUGGCCCAAUUCAGAGUUUCUGCCUAGCUUUAUUCAAAUAGCUUUGUCGUGAAUCUUGAGCUCAUCACGGAUUUUCCUUGCCAUCUGACCUUAUGUCAUAGAGUCACACAGAAAAGACAAAGUGUGUCAUCACAGGACUGUGCGAGAUAGCAACAUGCUUCUGGCCUUCCCGCAGCCACUGACAUGCAAGACAUUAGUAGUGAGCUGACAUCAGGAGAGCCAAACAGAUGAUCAUUUUUUUCUACUCCCCACGAAGCCUGAUGCAAAACUCACUGGAACUGCUGAAAAUAUGAAGGGCUUUGGCUUGGGCCCAAAUAAACCAGCCAGGAAUAAUGCUGAAAAGAUAUCUGAGAUGGUACAAAGGAACUAAUCCUAGUCACCUUUCCCUAGCAUCAGGCUCAAUUUGAUUUGAAUUGGCUAGAUUCUGCUGUGAAUUAAGCUCAAAGCCCCAAAGGCAACUUGACUCCAGUCAUCUAGCCUUGCAGCCUCCUCCAAAGUCUAUCCAGAGGGAAAACUGACUAGUCUUAUUCAGUUGCUGCUUAGAGCUAGCACCAUAGAUUAAAAAAGCUUGGGGCACACAAAAAGUGAAUAAUCUGGAUCAUUUUUUCUCUGCAAGUCCUUCGUACAACUUGUCCAUAAUAAUAAGAGUAUUAAUAAUUUUAAAAAGUUAGGAGACAUAAAGAGGAAGCACAAGUAAGAAGGAAAUCUGACCUGAUGAAGUGUGUACGCUUCACAGGAAAGAAAUAGAAGCAG